This 447-nucleotide ribosomal RNA is filed under the name uncultured bacterium. Its description in RNAcentral is "SSU rRNA". It matches the Rfam family "Bacterial small subunit ribosomal RNA", at positions 26 to 517 of the family's 1533-position model. The record is from RNAcentral.
AGAGCGAACGCUGGCGGCAGGCUUAACACAUGCAAGUCGAGCGGGCGUAGCAAUACGUCAGCGGCAGACGGGUGAGUAACGCGUGGGAACGUACCUUUUGGUUCGGAACAACACAGGGAAACUUGUGCUAAUACCGGAUAAGCCCUUACGGGGAAAGAUUUAUCGCCGAAAGAUCGGCCCGCGUCUGAUUAGCUAGUUGGUGAGGUAACGGCUCACCAAGGCGACGAUCAGUAGCUGGUCUGAGAGGAUGAUCAGCCACAUUGGGACUGAGACACGGCCCAAACUCCUACGGGAGGCAGCAGUGGGGAAUAUUGGACAAUGGGCGCAAGCCUGAUCCAGCCAUGCCGCGUGAGUGAUGAAGGCCCUAGGGUUGUAAAGCUCUUUUGUGCGGGAAGAUAAUGACGGUACCGCAAGAAUAAGCCCCGGCUAACUUCGCGCCAGCAGCCG